RNAcentral lists this ribosomal RNA (496 nucleotides) under uncultured bacterium. Its description in RNAcentral is "partial 16S ribosomal RNA". It matches the Rfam family "Bacterial small subunit ribosomal RNA", at positions 29 to 507 of the family's 1533-position model. The record is from RNAcentral.
AUGAACGCUGGCGGCGUGCCUAAUACAUGCAAGUCGAGCGAACAGACGAGGAGCUUGCUCCUCUGACGUUAGCGGCGGACGGGUGAGUAACCCGUGGAUAACCUACCUAUAAGACUGGGAUAACUUCGGGAAACCGGAGCUAAUACCGGAUAAUAUAUUGAACCGCAUGGUUCAAUAGUGAAAGACGGUUUUGCUGUCACUUAUAGAUGGAUCCGCGCCGCAUUAGCUAGUUGGUAAGGUAACGGCUUACCAAGGCAACGAUGCGUAGCCGACCUGAGAGGGUGAUCGGCCACACUGGAACUGAGGCACGGUCCAGACUCCUACGGGAGGCAGCAGUAGGGAAUCUUCCGCAAUGGGCGAAAGCCUGACGGAGCAACGCCGCGUGAGUGAUGAAGGUCUUCGGAUCGUAAAACUCUGUUAUUAGGGAAGAACAAAUGUGUAAGUAACUAUGCACGUCUUGACGGUACCUAAUCAGAAAGCCACGGCUAACUAAGUG